RNAcentral lists this non-coding RNA (29 nucleotides) under Bombyx mori (domestic silkworm). Lineage: Eukaryota; Metazoa; Arthropoda; Insecta; Lepidoptera; Bombycidae. The record is from RNAcentral.
UAGAAACUUGAUGCUUGAUACCCUGCCAC